GAGGGUAUAGCUCAAGUGGCAGAGUGCAUGCUUAGCAUGCAUAAGGUCCUGAGUUCAAUCCCCAGUGCCUCUU
RNAcentral lists this transfer RNA (73 nucleotides) under Camelus bactrianus (Bactrian camel). It matches the Rfam family "tRNA". From Rfam's summary of the family: Transfer RNA (tRNA) molecules are approximately 80 nucleotides in length. Their secondary structure includes four short double-helical elements and three loops (D, anti-codon, and T loops). Lineage: Eukaryota; Metazoa; Chordata; Mammalia; Artiodactyla; Camelidae. The record is from Rfam by way of RNAcentral. RNAcentral also lists the same sequence under 2 other names.